UACGAAGGGGGCUAGCGUUGUUCGGAAUUACUGGGCGUAAAGGGCGCGUAGGCUGUGCUGUAAGUCAGGCGUGAAAGCCCCGGGCUCAACCUGGGAAUUGCGCUUGAUACUGCGGCGCUGGAAGGUGGGAGAGGAUGGCGGAAUUCCCAGUGUAGAGGUGAAAUUCGUAGAUAUUGGGAAGAACACCGGUGGCGAAGGCGGCCAUCUGGCCCACAUUUGACGCUGAGGCGCGAAAGCGUGGGGAGCAAGCAGG
RNAcentral lists this ribosomal RNA (253 nucleotides) under uncultured bacterium. Its description in RNAcentral is "partial 16S ribosomal RNA". It matches the Rfam family "Bacterial small subunit ribosomal RNA", at positions 524 to 776 of the family's 1533-position model. The record is from RNAcentral.